GCGCGGAUGAGCUCAAAUUUGAAAUCUGGCUGGUUUACUAGUCCGAGUUGUAAUUUAAAGAAGCGUUUUCGGUGGCAGCCUGGGUAUAAAUCCUUUGGAAUAGGGUAUCAUAGAGGGUGAGAAUCCCGUCUUUGACCUAGUGCAUGCUACUAUGUGAUACGUUUUCAAAGAGUCGAGUUGUUUGGGAAUGCAGCUCAAAAUGGGUGGUAAAUUUCAUCUAAAGCUAAAUAUUGGCGAGAGACCGAUAGCGAACAAGUACCGUGAGGGAAAGAUGAAAAGAACUUUGAAAAGAGAGUUAAACAGUGCGUGAAAUUGUUGAAAGGGAAACGUUUGACACCAGUCAUGUGGGUGGAAAAUCAGUCUUUUGCAUUGGGGAGUUGUAAAGGUUCGGACCGCAAGGCCGGCUUUUGCUUCAUCUUUGGUGUAAGGGAUGCACUUUUUCAUCUACAGGUCAACAUCAGUUUCUUUUGCUGGACAAAACUCCGAGAGAAGGUAGCAGCUUAGGCUGUGUUAUAGCUCUGGAGCGAUACAGUGAAGGGGACUGAGGUUUUCGCAGCGUGUGCUCUCGGGCAAGGCUGGAUGGGUGCUAUGGGAUCGUUCGGGGUACAAUGCCUGGCAUUUUGCUUCGUGUCUUUUCUAUACUCGCUCAACUCAGCUCUCCACG
RNAcentral lists this ribosomal RNA (664 nucleotides) under Mortierella sp. FSU 10534. RNAcentral describes it as "eukaryotic LSU rRNA". It matches the Rfam family "Eukaryotic large subunit ribosomal RNA", at positions 97 to 621 of the family's 3401-position model. The record is from RNAcentral. Lineage: Eukaryota; Fungi; Mortierellomycota; Mortierellomycetes; Mortierellales; Mortierellaceae.